GAUGAACGCUGGCGGCGUGCCUAAUACAUGCAAGUCGAGCGAACAGACGAGGAGCUUGCUCCUCUGACGUUAGCGGCGGACGGGUGAGUAACACGUGGAUAACCUACUUAUAAGACUGGGAUAACUUCGGGAAACCGGAGCUAAUACCGGAUAAUAUAUUGAACCGCAUGGUUCAAUAGUGAAAGACGGUUUUGCUGUCACUUAUAGAUGGAUCCGCGCCGCAUUAGCUAGUUGGUAAGGUAACGGCUUACCAAGGCAACGAUGCGUAGCCGACCUGAGAGGGUGAUCGGCCACACUGGAACUGAGACACGGUCCAGACUCCUACGGGAGGCAGCAGUAGGGAAUCUUCCGCAAUGGGCGAAAGCCUGACGGAGCAACGCCGCGUGAGUGAUGAAGGUCUUCGGAUCGUAAAACUCUGUUAUUAGGGAAGAACAAAUGUGUAAGUAACUAUGCACGUCUUGACGGUACCUAAUCAGAAAGCCACGGCUAACUACGUG
This 497-nucleotide ribosomal RNA is filed under the name uncultured bacterium. Its description in RNAcentral is "partial 16S ribosomal RNA". It matches the Rfam family "Bacterial small subunit ribosomal RNA", at positions 28 to 507 of the family's 1533-position model. The record is from RNAcentral.